UUGCCAGACUCCUACGGGAGGCAGCAGUGGGGAAUAUUGCACAAUGGGGGAAACCCUGAUGCAGCGACGCCGCGUGAGCGAUGAAGUAUUUCGGUAUGUAAAGCUCUAUCAGCAGGGAAGAAAAUGACGGUACCUGACUAAGAAGCCCCGGCUAACUACGUGCCAGCAGCCGCGGUAAUACGUAGGGGGCAAGCGUUAUCCGGAUUUACUGGGUGUAAAGGGAGCGUAGACGGCUGUGCAAGCCAGAUGUGAAAGCCCGGGGCUCAACCCCGGGACUGCUCUGGAAACUGUGCGGCUAGAGUACUGGAGGGGCAGGCGGAAUUCCUAGUGUAGCGGUGAGAUGCGUAGAUAUUAGGAGGAACACCAGUGGCGAAGGCGGCCUGCUGGACUGAAACUGACGUUGAGGCUCGAAAGCGUGGGGAGCAAACAGGAUUAGAUACCCCAGUAUG
This 449-nucleotide ribosomal RNA is filed under the name uncultured bacterium. Its description in RNAcentral is "bacterial SSU rRNA". It matches the Rfam family "Bacterial small subunit ribosomal RNA", at positions 328 to 793 of the family's 1533-position model. The record is from RNAcentral.